This 376-nucleotide ribosomal RNA is filed under the name uncultured bacterium. Its description in RNAcentral is "bacterial SSU rRNA". It matches the Rfam family "Bacterial small subunit ribosomal RNA", at positions 29 to 422 of the family's 1533-position model. The record is from RNAcentral.
AACGAACGCUGGCGGCAGGCCUAACACAUGCAAGUCGAACGAGAAGCCACCUUCGGGUGGUGGACAGUGGCAGACGGGUGAGUAACGCGUGGGAACGUGCCUUUCGGUUCGGGAUAACCCAGGGAAACUUGGGCUAAUACCGGAUACGCCCUCCGGGGGAAAGAUUCAUUGCCGAAAGAUCGGCCCGCGUCGGAUUAGCUAGUUGGUGGGGUAAAAGCCUACCAAGGCGACGAUCCGUAGCUGGUCUGAGAGGAGACCAGCCACACUGGGACUGAGACACGGCCCAGACUCCUACGGGGAGGCAGCAGUGGGGAAUAUUGGACAAUGGGCGCAAGCCUGAUCCAGCCAUGCCGCGUGGGUGAAGAAGGCCCUAGGG